AAAAGUAUUGUAUGUUCUGAAAACUGAAAAUAUUUCCAUCUGGUUUAGGCUUAGGCUGAAUAUGGAGGAGCUGCAUAAAUGAAACUGGAAAGCCUAUGAUGUAAUGAGAGUGGUGUCUGCAGUCCACAAAUGGGUGAAGUUUUACCCAUAAAAUCAAGGCUCACCCACCCAAAGUCCAAAAUAGAAGUAUGAAAGGUAAAAGAGGAAUUAACUGUAAGAGAGGAUAUUAACAGUGCUGGCUUUGCAGGUCAGAUCCAUUUUGUGAUCCAACUUCUGGACCUGCAUC
This 286-nucleotide long non-coding RNA is filed under the name Macaca mulatta (Rhesus monkey). RNAcentral's name for it is "lncRNA (ENSMMUG00000055097.1)". The record is from RNAcentral. Lineage: Eukaryota; Metazoa; Chordata; Mammalia; Primates; Cercopithecidae.